GCUAAUCCUCCCAGGGUCAGUCGGGGGCUAAGGCGAGGCCGGGAGGCGUAGCCGAUGCGCAGCAGGUGGACAUUCCUGCACCACCGACGCGGAGCUUGACCGAUGGGGCGACGGAGAAGGGUAGCCGGGCGGGGUUCUGGACGUCCCCGUGAGGCCGCGUAGGGCGCGGCGCAGUGAAAUGCGCGCCGCACAGGGCCCGAGGCGGCGGACGAAGCGACUGAGCGAAGUCGGUGAGCCCACGCUCCCAAGAAAAACCCCUAGGGAUCCGCGAGGUGCCCGUACCGCAAACCGACACAGGUGGGUGGGUAGAACAUACCAAGGCGAUCGGGAGAACCAUGGUAAAGGAACUCGGCAAAACCGCCCCGUAACUUCGGGAGAAGGGGUGCCGGGGCCGGUGGAGGGGCACGCCCCCCGAGCCGGGCCCGGCCACAGCGAAGAGGUCCAAACGACUGUUUAUCAAAAACACAGGACUCUGCCCAAGCCGUAAGGCGACGCAUAGGGUCUGACGCCUGCCCGGUGCCGGAAGGUCACGGGGAGCCGUCAUCCUUCGGGAGAAGCGGCGAACCCAAGCCCCGGUAAACGGCGGCCGUAACUAUAACGGUCCUAAGGUAGCGAAAUUCCUUGUCGGGUAAGUUCCGACCUGCACGAAAGGCGUAACGAUUUGGACGCUGUCUCUACCAUGGCCCCGGUGAAAUUGCACUAGUCGUGAAGAUGCGACUUACCCGCGGAAGGACGGAAAGACCCCGUGAACCUUUACUGCAGCUAGGCAUUGGCUGCCGGUCCGUCGUGUAGAGGAUAGGUGGGAGGCUUGGAACCGAGGGCGCCAGCCCCCGGGGAGCCACCCUUGGAAUACCACCCUCGACGCUCUGGCAUCCUAACCCCCGGCCCUGAUCGGGCGGGGGGACCGUGCCUGGUGGGUAGUUUGACUGGGGCGGUCGCCUCCCAAAGAGUAACGGAGGCGCGCGCAAGGUCUGCUCGGGACGGUCGGCAACCGUCCUCCUGAGUGCAAGAGCAUAAGCAGGCUUGACUGCGAGGCGCACAUGCCGAGCAGGUGGGAAACCAGGCUCUAGUGAUCCGGCGGCCCAGAGUGGAAUGGCCGUCGCUCAACGGAUAAAAGGUACUCCGGGGAUAACAGGCUGAUCUUGCCCAAGAGUCCACAUCGACGGCAAGGUUUGGCACCUCGAUGUCGGCUCAUCGCAUCCUGGGGCUGGAGCAGGUCCCAAGGGUACGGCUGUUCGCCGUUUAAAGCGGUACGCGAGCUGGGUUCAGAACGUCGUGAGACAGUUCGGUCCCUAUCCUCCGUGGGCGUAGGAAGACUGAGGGAGGCUGCCCCUAGUACGAGAGGACCGGGGUGGACGGACCUCCGGUGCACGGGUUGUUCGCCAAGAGCACCGCCCGGUAGCUGAGUCCGGUCUGGAUAACCGCUGAAGGCAUCUAAGCGGGAAGCCAGUCCCGAGAUGAGUCUUCCCUUCGGUAAGGCCCCAGGUAGACCACCUGGUUGAUAGACGGCAGGUGCAAGCGCCGCGAGGCGCUCAGCCGAGCCGCACUAAUAGGCCGAGCUCUUCCUCC
This 1569-nucleotide ribosomal RNA is filed under the name human gut metagenome. RNAcentral's name for it is "bacterial LSU rRNA". It matches the Rfam family "Bacterial large subunit ribosomal RNA", at positions 1364 to 2925 of the family's 2925-position model. The record is from RNAcentral.